AUACGGAGGGGGCUAGCGUUGUUCGGAAUCACUGGGCGUAAAGCGCUCGUAGGCGGAUUGGUCAGUCAGAGGUGAAAUCCCAAGGCUCAACCUUGGAACUGCCUUUGAUACUGCCAGUCUUGAGGUCGAGAGAGGUAAGUGGAAUUCCUAGUGUAGAGGUGAAAUUCGUAGAUAUUAGGAAGAACACCAGUGGCGAAGGCGACUUACUGGCUCGAUUCUGACGCUGAGGAGCGAAAGCGUGGGGAGCAAACAGGAUUAGAUACCCCAGUAGUCC
Molecule: ribosomal RNA, 274 nt
Filed under: uncultured bacterium
Lineage: Bacteria
Description: partial 16S ribosomal RNA
Rfam family: Bacterial small subunit ribosomal RNA
Source: RNAcentral